UUAAGUUAGAAAGGGCGCACGGUGGAUGCCUUGGCACUAGGAGCCGAUGAAGGACGGGACGAACACCGAUAUGCUUCGGGGAGCUGUAAGCAAGCUUUGAUCCGGAGAUUUCCGAAUGGGGAAACCCACCACUCGUAAUGGAGUGGUAUCCAUAUCUGAAUACAUAGGAUAUGAGAAGGCAGACCCGGAGAACUGAAACAUCUAAGUACCCGGAGGAAGAGAAAGCAAAUGCGAUUCCCUGAGUAGCGGCGAGCGAAACGGGACCAGCCCAAACCAAGAGGCUUGCCUCUUGGGGUUGUAGGACACUCUGUACGGAGUUACAAAGGAACGAGGUAGAUGAAGAGGUCUGGAAAGGCCCGCCAUAGGAGGUAACAGCCCUGUAGUCAAAACUUCGUUCUCUCCUGAGUGGAUCCUGAGUACGGCGGAACACGUGAAAUUCCGUCGGAAUCCGGGAGGACCAUCUCCCAAGGCUAAAUACUCCCUAGUGACCGAUAGUGAACCAGUACCGUGAGGGAAAGGUGAAAAGCACCCCGGAAGGGGAGUGAAAGAGAUCCUGAAACCGUGUGCCUACAAGUAGUCAGAGCCCGUUAACGGGUGAUGGCGUGCCUUUUGUAGAAUGAACCGGCGAGUUACGAUCCCGUGCAAGGUUAAGCAGAAGAUGCGGAGCCGCAGCGAAAGCGAGUCUGAAUAGGGCGAAUUGAGUACGUGGUCGUAGACCCGAAACCAGGUGAUCUACCCAUGUCCAGGGUGAAGUUCAGGUAACACUGAAUGGAGGCCCGAACCCACGCACGUUGAAAAGUGCGGGGAUGAGGUGUGGGUAGGGGUGAAAUGCCAAUCGAACCUGGAGAUAGCUGGUUCUCUCCGAAAUAGCUUUAGGGCUAGCCUCAAGGUAAGAGUCUCGGAGGUAGAGCACUGAUUGGACUAGGGGCCCCUACCGGGUUACCGAAUUCAGUCAAACUCCGAAUGCCGAUGACUUAUCCUUGGGAGUCAGACUGCGAGUGAUAAGAUCCGUAGUCGAAAGGGAAACAGCCCAGACCGCCAGCUAAGGUCCCAAAGUAUACGUUAAGUGGAAAAGGAUGUGGAGUUGCUUAGACAACCAGGAUGUUGGCUUAGAAGCAGCCACCAUUUAAAGAGUGCGUAAUAGCUCACUGGUCGAGUGACUCUGCGCCGAAAAUGUACCGGGGCUAAACGUAUCACCGAAGCUGCGGACUGUUCUUCGAACAGUGGUAGGAGAGCGUUCUAAGGGCUGUGAAGCAAGACCGGAAGGACUUGUGGAGCGCUUAGAAGUGAGAAUGCCGGUAUGAGUAGCGAAAGAGGGGUGAGAAUCCCCUCCACCGAAUGCCUAAGGUUUCCUGAGGAAGGCUCGUCCGCUCAGGGUUAGUCGGGACCUAAGCCGAGGCCGAAAGGCGUAGGCGAUGGAUAACAGGUUGAUAUUCCUGUACCACCUCCUCACCAUUUGAGCAAUGGGGGGACGCAGGAGGAUAGGGUAAGCGCGGUAUUGGAUAUCCGCGUCCAAGCAGUUAGGCUGGGAAAUAGGCAAAUCCGUUUCCCGUGAAGGCUGAGCUGUGAUGGCGAGCGAAUUAUAGUAGCGAAGUUCCUGAUUCCACACUGCCAAGAAAAGCCUCUAGCGAGGUGAGAGGUGCCCGUACCGCAAACCGACACAGGUAGGCGAGGAGAGAAUCCUAAGGUGAUCGAGAGAACUCUCGUUAAGGAACUCGGCAAAAUGACCCCGUAACUUCGGGAGAAGGGGUGCUCUGUUAGGGUGCAAGCCCGAGAGAGCCGCAGUGAAUAGGCCCAGGCGACUGUUUAGCAAAAACACAGGUCUCUGCGAAGCCGUAAGGCGAAGUAUAGGGGCUGACGCCUGCCCGGUGCUGGAAGGUUAAGAGGAGCGCUUAGCGUAAGCGAAGGUGCGAAUUGAAGCCCCAGUAAACGGCGGCCGUAACUAUAACGGUCCUAAGGUAGCGAAAUUCCUUGUCGGGUAAGUUCCGACCCGCACGAAAGGCGCAACGAUCUGGGCACUGUCUCAACGAGAGACUCGGUGAAAUUAUAGUACCUGUGAAGAUGCAGGUUACCCGCGACAGGACGGAAAGACCCCGUGGAGCUUUACUGCAGCCUGAUAUUGAAUGUUGGUACAGCUUGUACAGGAUAGGUAGGAGCCUUGGAAACCGGAGCGCCAGCUUCGGUGGAGGCAUCGGUGGGAUACUACCCUGGCUGUAUUGACCUUCUAACCCGCCGCCCUUAUCGGGCGGGGAGACAGUGUCAGGUGGGCAGUUUGACUGGGGCGGUCGCCUCCUAAAAGGUAACGGAGGCGCCCAAAGGUUCCCUCAGAAUGGUUGGAAAUCAUUCGCAGAGUGUAAAGGCACAAGGGAGCUUGACUGCGAGACCUACAAGUCGAGCAGGGACGAAAGUCGGGCUUAGUGAUCCGGUGGUUCCGCAUGGAAGGGCCAUCGCUCAACGGAUAAAAGCUACCCCGGGGAUAACAGGCUUAUCUCCCCCAAGAGUCCACAUCGACGGGGAGGUUUGGCACCUCGAUGUCGGCUCAUCGCAUCCUGGGGCUGUAGUCGGUCCCAAGGGUUGGGCUGUUCGCCCAUUAAAGCGGUACGCGAGCUGGGUUCAGAACGUCGUGAGACAGUUCGGUCCCUAUCCGUCGCGGGCGCAGGAAAUUUGAGAGGAGCUGUCCUUAGUACGAGAGGACCGGGAUGGACGCACCGCUGGUGUACCAGUUGUUCUGCCAAGGGCAUCGCUGGGUAGCUAUGUGCGGACGGGAUAAGUGCUGAAAGCAUCUAAGCAUGAAGCCCCCCUCAAGAUGAGAUUUCCCAUUCCGCAAGGAAGUAAGAUCCCUGAAAGAUGAUCAGGUUGAUAGGUCUGAGGUGGAAGUGUGGCGACACAUGGAGCUGACAGAUACUAAUCGAUCGAGGACUUAACCAA
Molecule: ribosomal RNA, 2928 nt
Filed under: Bacillus amyloliquefaciens XH7
Lineage: Bacteria; Bacillati; Bacillota; Bacilli; Caryophanales; Bacillaceae
Description: bacterial LSU rRNA
Rfam family: Bacterial large subunit ribosomal RNA
Source: RNAcentral